Molecule: ribosomal RNA, 483 nt
Filed under: uncultured bacterium
Lineage: Bacteria
Description: partial 16S ribosomal RNA
Rfam family: Bacterial small subunit ribosomal RNA
Source: RNAcentral
AUUGAACGCUGGCGGCAGGCCUAACACAUGCAAGUCGAGCGGAAGAAGGGAGCUUGCUCCUGGAUUCAGCGGCGGACGGGUGAGUAAUGCCUAGGAAUCUGCCUGGUUGUGGGGAUAACGUCCGGAAACGGGCGCUAAUACCGCAUACGUCCUGAGGGAGAAAGGGGGGGAACUUGGGACCCUACGCACUUAGAUGGACCUAGGUCGGCUUAGCUAGUUGGUGGGGUAAAGGCCCACCAAGGCGACGAUCCGUAACUGGUCUGAGAGGAUGAUCAGUCACACUGGAACUGAGACACGGUCCAGACUCCUACGGGAGGCAGCAGUGGGGAAUAUUGGACAAUGGGCGAAAGCCUGAUCCAGCCAUGCCGCGUGUGUGAAGAAGGUCUUCGGAUUGUAAAGCACUUUAAGUUGGGAGGAAGGGCAGUAAGUUAAUACCUUGCUGUUUUGACGUUACCCACAGAAUAAGCACCGGCUAACUUCGUG